AUGUGCGCCUUCGGCGAUGGUCUCUCUCUCUUUCUCCCCAGCGGAAUGUGGACUUUGCCUCUUUGGCUUUUCUGCUUGCCCAGUGCUUUGAAGAGUGCCUGGCAUAAGGCGAGUAAAUAUUUGUUGAAUUCAUUCCAGCUGAAGGCUCCAGACCCCGCAGGUGUCCCUCUGCUAUCGGUUUGUCUUGUCCCUGUGCUCAAGGGUCCUGAAGCAGCUGCUAAUAUUUUCCCCGCAGGGAGAGUGAGCAAGAAGCAAUCUUACCCUGGAAUGCUGGAAGAAAUACUCGACAAUGGGCUACCAUUCCCAGGAGGGCUACAACACUGUGCGAUGACCCUGGCUCCAGCCUGGAUACUCUGAUCCGUUUGGAAGGGACAAGAUCAGCUAUGUGAUGCUAAAUGUUAGUGAUCCUUCAAGCAUUUAAGUAAAUUAUGAUGGAUUUAACUACAAAAUUGUUCUUGACAACAUUGUUUCUAAUACCUGAGAAUCAGAUGCAAUCCAAAUAGCAAAUGCAAGACUAAAUAAAAUAUAAAACAUCCAUAUAAUAAAACACUGUCAAUAUAAAUUUUGGCCAAUCUGUGAGGUUAAAAAAUGGUAAUACAAUUUUUGGCAUCCAUUCACAUUUCUUUAAUCUUUUCAUUGGCUCUCUUUCUUUCAGUGUUCACUGCCUACCCACAUUGUAGGUACAUCUUUAUAUUUAGUUAUUUUAAUUUUUUUCUUACAGGUUACCUAAAUGCUUCGUAACUUAAUAAAUUGACUUCUCAUCUAUGAUUGGUGCUAUAAAUAUGACUUCCUGUUCACCCCUUGUCUUUUGACCUCAAUAGUCUUUUGUCUUGAUUUUACCCACAUUGAUGCUUUCAUUUUUCUGAACUAGAUUGAUCAUUCUUUCCUGUGUGGUUUCUGGUUUUCGUUUCCCACUUUGGAAACUGGUUUCCAACUCCAACAUUGUAAAUAUAUUUACCCAAAUGUCUUCCGGAACUUUUAUUGCUUCAUUUUUCUUUAAUAUGUUAAUCCUUGACCCAUCGGGGAUGUAUUUGGGUAUAAGGAGUUAGGUGAGGAUCCUGCUUUAUUAUUUUUUUUCGAAGGGUUGGCCAGUUAGUCUGACACUAUUUCCUGAAUAAUCCCCCUUUCAGACAAACCAUUUCAAUAAAUCCUUUUGUGAGGGGGUCACAGAACCCUUUGAGAAUCUGAAAGCUGCAGAUCCUCUCCCCAGGAAAAAAUAUGUGUCUAUAACACACACUAAAUUUCACAAACAAUUCCCGCAGGGCACGUGGACCUUCUGGAGCACAUCCGUUGACUCUCAAGAGGUCUAUAAUCUCCAGUUAAGAACGCCCUCCUUUAAACAGAAGAAACAGUUCUUAAAUAGCGGGAUUCAGCCUCCAACACAGACCACUGAGAACUCAUUUUGUAGUGGAAAACAUGUUAAAAAUAGUCCCACAACCUCCUCGAGGCAGAAGACUCUGGCCUACCAUUAGGGUUAUAGGAUACUCCAGCCUUCCACCAUCUUAUGUCCUGGGAGCUUAAAACCUUCCACUCACCAUUCUGCUGGCCCAGUGCAUCCAACAGACAGCGCGUUAACCUUUCUCUAGAGUGCAAGUAGCCCUCAUUGAACAACUCGCUCCUGAACGAAUGGGGCAGGUGCAGGUACACUGCUUCAUGUGACUCAGUUUCCCUUGAUUUAUAGUCCUAAUAUUUUUCUCGAGACAGGGUCUUGCUCUGUCCCCAGGCUGGAGGGCAGUGAUGCCAUCAUAGUUCACUGCAGCCUCAAACUCCUAGACUCAAACAAUCCUCCCUCCUCCGCCUCCCAAAGCACUGGGAUUGCAGUUGUGAGCCACCAUGCCCACCCAGCAGCCAAUUUCAGACUCCGUUUUCCACCCCAGAUUUGCCUACACCUCCUGAGAUCUGCUCUUUCGGGUUGUGUGUGUCCGUUCUCAAACCUUCACCCUCAAUUCCUUCCCAUGCAUUGAAAGCCAGCGCUGGCCUUUGGGCUUUCUGGCCCUUUCAGAAAUAAAGGUUUGAGCUGAGCUGGCCCCUUGCACCCUCUUGACUUCUGACUCGGAAGCAGCAGCAGCUCUGACCAGGCCACAGAGCUCGUCUGGACGAGCCUUCCCUCUGCUGGGAUCCUCCGGUGCUACCCCAUUCCACUGGCUCUGAGGAUUCUCAAAAUUCUUACCUGGGAACUUCUGAGUCAGAAAUUCUUGGGGAGGGACCCAGCAAUGUGGGUUUUCACAAGCACCUCAGGGAGGGCCAGCUGUGUCCUUUGUGGGGACCAGGACAAAAUGAAAACGUAGCGCCCCUUAUUCAAAAAAUAUUAAGAAUCUCAGGACGGCAACAGCAGACCACUAAAGCCUUCUGUGUGUGGGGUCUUUCUGAGUGUGGGGGUCUCUCUGAGUGUGGGGAUCUCUCUGAGUGUGGGGGUCCCUCUGAAUGUGGGGGUCUUUCUGAGCAUGAGUGUCUUUCUGAGUGUGGGGUUCUCUCUGAGUGUGGGGGUCUCUCUGAGUGUGGGGGUCUUUCUGAGUGUGGGGGUCUCGCUGAGUGUGGGGGUCUUUCUGAGUGUGGGGAUCUCGCUGAGUGUGGGGGUCUCUCUGAGUGUGGGGGUCUCGCUGAGUGUAACGGUCUCUCUGAGUGUGGGGGUCUUUCUGAGUGUGGGGUCUCUCUGAGUGUGGGGAUCUCUCUGAGUGUGGGGGUCUCGCUGAGUGUGGAGGUCUUUCUGAGUGUAACGGUCUUUCUGAGUGUGGGGGUCUUUCUGAGUGUGGGG
Long non-coding RNA from Macaca mulatta (Rhesus monkey), 2755 nucleotides. NCBI's taxonomy places the organism in Eukaryota, Metazoa, Chordata, Mammalia, Primates, Cercopithecidae. The record is from Ensembl.